This 269-nucleotide ribosomal RNA is filed under the name Diretmus argenteus (silver spinyfin). Its description in RNAcentral is "partial 12S ribosomal RNA". The record is from RNAcentral. Lineage: Eukaryota; Metazoa; Chordata; Actinopteri; Trachichthyiformes; Diretmidae.
AGGNAGAGACCCCACUAUCCGCCCGGGNCUACGAGCAUUAGCUUNNNACCCAAAGGACUUGGCGGUGCUUUAGACCCACCUAGAGGAGCCUGUCCUAGAACCGAUAACCCCCGUUUNAACCUCACCCCCCUUUGUUUUUCCCGCCUAUAUACCACCGUCGUCAGCUUCCCCUGUGANGGUCUNCAUAGUAAGCAGAACUCAUAUAACCCACUACGUCAGGUCGAGGUGUCUCGUCUGCAGAGGCAAGAGAAUGGGUGCUACAUNCCUCU